ACAUUCAUAUCAAACCCUCCAAACAAUGUCUUCACUUGGAAGAUACUUCAUUUCUCUACCUUGGAAGAUAAAAUCUAUAAAUCUGACGAGUUUCUUGUUGGAGACCGAUACUGGUUAGUACUUGAUCUCAUCGUAUUACAUAAUGAUUCAUAAUAUUGAUCUCAUCUACCAAGUGUCGUUAGCUCAACUGGUAAAGUCCUAGACGAAGCUUAGAGGUCGCCGGUUUGAGUGACGUUUGGGACGUUACUAAUAUUACAUGCUGUAGUUUCGGGUCUGAGGUAUUACGGGCUUUGGCCCAAAACCUCCUAGUAUUCAAAAAAAAAAAAAAAAAUUGAUCUCAUCGUUACGUGACUUCACAGUGGCCUGAGUAUAAUAAGGGAUUUUGGUUAAUGAAUAAUCAGGAAAUUAGGAUUUAACCCGAAAGGAGGUUUAGUCCCAAUCUAUUUAUAUGCUCAAGGAUUUAAGGCAAACGCAGUUGAAGCAACCACUUAUGGAGCAGCUAAUCUGCGGUUAAAGAAUCAACGAAACACCAACCACAUAACAUCAUUUAGUAAGAAAACUAACCAAAGAAAAAAAGUUUAUCUCCAAGAGAGAAAAUAAACAAUGAAUGAAACUAAUAGUAGCUAAUGUAAAUCUUAUUAUGUUGUGUUUUCUUUGCAGCUGAAUAUUGGUACCUGGUUCUAAGCGGAUACGGUUUGGGAGUGAAUACUAUACCAUUAGCAGAUGUAAAGGAUGCAUCGAAAGGAUAUUUGGUGAAUGAUGCCAUUAUAAUUGAAGCUGAAAUGCUUACGGUCUCUGUGACGAACCUCGUCUCCGUUUAAAGAUCUCUACUUCUUUACCAUACUUCAAACAACCUUAGGAAGAAAGAGAUGGUUUGUGAUGUUUGUGAUGUAGUCUUUGUUUCUGGUUUUCUGAGUUUUCUCUUUUCUGUUUUGUUAUCAAUGAAAAUGAAACUCUCAGGGUUUUAAAUUUUUUGAAAAAUGUUGGGGACAUGAUGAAGUGUUAACUUUCUGGAUAAAGUCGACCUAUAUGGAGUAAACUUAUAAUUUACUUCACAUCAUUUCAAUUUUUGUAGCCAAAUUCAAACAGAACGUAACCCAAAAGAAAAAGUAUUGCAUAACAUUUUAGAAAGAUACUAAAUAUGUAAAAAAUCUAAGUCGUACGAUGCAAAUUAUAAUUUUAUUCAUACCAUUCUGGCAUUCUCUAUAAUUCUAACAUCCACUAACCAAAAAAUAAAUAUAACCAAAAUCUAGAUUGAACUUAGGAAAAAGUAAAGUAAAAUCCUGUCCGUUUUUUGCUCCUAGGUCUAUUGAACCAUUUUUAAAGCUCAAUCAUAUCGAAAUUGGGUUGAAUGGUCAUUUACCUAUACCUAUAAACUCAAGUUCCAAGGUAUAUUUAUUUUUUUGCUUUCGCUCUUGGAAUGAAUUGUACACCCAAAAUAUACGACCGUUGCCCGUUGGAGUAAGAGUCACUCCCUAGCUUGAUCUACAUUUUUUAAUGUAUAACGUUAAUUUGACCACUAUAUUAAUUCCUCUCAUUAAGUUAACCGCAUUUAUCUUGAAAGUUCAUCAACCAGUAUAUGUUUCACUCCGCGCUUCUAACAUUUCUACCACUUUUACCACUUCCAUUUUAAGCAUUUCGCAUUAGUAUCAGUUGAUAUUAUAUAUAUCAAGUUUAAUGAGAUUCUAACUCAAAAUUAAUUAGCAAUAGGUGAGAAAAUGCAUAUGUACUAAAUAUUUGUGUUGAAAUAUCUUUGCUUCCAAUGUGAAAUAUAUAAACAUGCUCCCUCGAGAAUAUAAAUUCAUUUUUCUCGGAUCAAAUCCAACUUUUGUUUUAGAUUGGUUAUACCCAUUUGUGUCUAUUAGAUUUUAAUACUAAUUACUAAAUAAGUGAUUAUGAGUUCAUUUGAAAACUCAUAAGCUUCCAACUCAAAACUAUUGGAAAUGAAUUGAUUGUCAUAUAUAUAGGUUAUGGGCUUGGUUGGUAUAACUAAAACUAUUGUAGAAUGGUGGCAAUCAGGAGCUUAAGCAUGUAAGUUGAUGAAAUUGUAACCUAUUAUAUGCUAGAAAAUUGCUCACACGAUGUGUGGGUUAAAAUAGUAUAUAUUAAGAAAAUGAUUUAAAUAUAUACCAUAACUUUAUCUUGAUUUGCACACCUUUUUGUGAUAAUCUAUUAAAACUUUUCUCGAAACAAUAGAUUACGCUAGAUCCACACUUCACUGAUAAAAAAAAUAACAUCCACAUUUCAGUUUGUUUUGGUUUAAGUGUUGAUGAUAUAAUUUUUAUAAAUAAGUUUAUAUUAAUUUUGAAAAAUGUGUAGAUAUAUUCCAUGCAAGCACUCAAAAUAAAAGAAAUUUUGAUAUUAUAUUAAAUAGUUUGAAAAUUUAUAAUAAAAAUAAAAUAAAAUAUGUUUUACUAUAAACCAAAAACAAUGGAAAAUACGGCUAAAUAAUCUUAUUAUAUAAAGUAUGUUUUCAAAGUUAAUAACUGACGUGAUCGUGACACGUGUCAAAUCUAUCGAUUUGGGAUUUGGGAUUCCAAUUUGCAUCCAAGUAUUAUCGAGUUGGAAACAGAUCUUAGUGGACUAAUGAAUUAGCUACAAGUAGAACGAAGAGCUGACCUCUACGAAUUUCUUGUUUACGGUUUACGGGUUGAACUUCUGAGAAAUGGGCGUAGAAUGACGAGGGUAAGAAGAUGAAAAAGUGUAGAAGAUGAUGAAUUGAUGAAUGAGAAGAGAUGAUGAGAUGAUGUUUAGAUCAGAGAAGAAGGAUGAACUGAUGAGAUGAGAAUUUCUCUUUCUCUCUCGGAAUCGCAUGCAGUAGAGGCGAAGAAGAAGAGAAAUGAAAUUAGGAUUAAUGAGUUAGGGUUAGGCUUAUAUAUGCCUCUUAAUGGGCUCCAUAAUUGCUAAUGGGCUGCAUAAUCAAAUAAAACCGAUCGGCCCGAUUACCGAACCGACCUGAUCCGAAAGCCGAUCGUCCAAAUUAAUUUUGACGUUUGGUUUGGUCUACUCUCUUCAGUCUACGUCGAUAACCAAAAAUUUUGGACUGAUCGGAUCGGUUUGAUCGGUCUUUGCCGAGAGGGUGCAAGAAACUGUUUUUUUUAGGAAGGCAAAAAAUUAAACAAAAGUAAAAGCAAUAUAUCCACUUGUGAUAGUAAAAUUGAAACACACUUUAUGCCUAAUUAGUACGGAACCAAAGAUAAGUAUUGUGAAAAGACAAAAAGAACGGUACCGUUUUGUUAUGAGUUCCGUGUUAUCUAUUCAUAGCCUAAUUCUUUUUUUUUUCUCCUUUUUUUUAUUAAACUUAUAGACUAAGACUAAACCACAGUUUAUGGCCAAUUGGUUUAGAACCAAAAAUAAACCGGAGACGAUAUUGGUCACACAUUUAUGGCUAAUUGGUACCGAACCAAAAAAUUACACAUAAGUAAAAUAAACCACACUUUUUUUUAUUAUCUUUUAUACUUUUUUCAAAAUAAAAAAAUAGAAAAUAACUUACUCCCUCCGUCCCACAAAGAUAAUUUUUUAAAAAAUUUCACAUUCUUUAAGAAAUAAUGUAUAAUAACAAUUUUAACCUUUUCACCUUUUAACACAUUUUAAAGAGUAUAUUAUUUAUUGUUAUUUAAUAAGGGUAAAAUAGGUAAACUGUUUUAAAUUUGACAUUAGAAACACAAAACUUCUAUCUUUAUGCGACAAAUUUUUUUUCUAAACAGUCCAUUUUUGUGGAACGGAGAGAGUAUUUAUUUUAAAUAAAAACCUAUUUUCUUUACCGCUAUGCAGUUUUGGUUCCCUAUUUUCCAUUCAUCGCGUACACUAAAAUUUAACAUCUACCUUUUUCCCAGUGGACCCAAAAAUGCCUUCGAAUUGAACAUGGGCGUUGCUCCUCUCGUGUCUAAUAUAAAAUUUGGAUAAUUAUGAAUUCUGCGAUGAUAGUGAUAUACCAUUGACACUGAGUCGAUCAUUGCAAUAAAUAAGAUCUCGUGUAAAACGUUUUUGCUAAAAAGAUUUAAUCAUAUUUUUGAACACUUGCCAGUUGCCACCCACUACCUCCAGAUCUCCCACAAAUCCAUAGAAAAUAAUACUCCCUCCGUUUCAGUUUAGUUGUCGUUUUAUGUUAUAAAUUUUGUUUCAAAAUAGUUAUCGUUUUAGGUUUUCAAUGCAAAUGUUUGGUGAAAAUUCCAGUUUUAUCCCUACUGUUUUAAUGUUUUGGCCAAUGAAUUUUUUUAUAAAAUAUAUUAAUAAAAGGUAAAAUAGAAAAUUUAAUACUUUUUUUAAUUUGUGUGAAAAAACUUUAAACGACAACUAAAACGAAACGGAGAAAGUACACAGGUUACUUGGAAAAUGGCAUAAAAGUAACAACAUUCUAAGUCAAACAUAUGUUCAAAAUGAAUAUGUUACUUUUAUGUAUAAUAAAAAUGAAUAUGUAAAAUAUAUUGUUUUUCCCACGACUAAUCCACUUUCAGUAUUUUAUAUUAGUAAUAAUAAAAAAUAACUAAACUGGAUCAAUAUGUAACCUUAGAUGUCUCUCUGUCUAUAUAAAAAUGUACACCUUUCCCAAAGAAAACCCAGAUCUCAAAAUAUGGAUAGUCAAAAACUGAGUCUAGGUUUCAUAUCUCUCGCUUUUCUCUUCAUUACCUCCUCUUCAGCUGAGUUCAUCAUUCAACAGGUAUGAUUCUUUAUUUUUGUUCUUAAAGCUCUUUUUCAAUGGAUUAGCUUUUUACUAGAAGUAGUUUUUAACAUGAAACUUAAAAAUAUAGGUCACACAGGGAAGAGGAACAGAGUACAACAGUUCUUACAUUCUCAAUGAGAAUCUUGGUACACUUGUGUUGUCUGAAAUCGACUUUCUUUUUGGUCUUUAAGGGUUUUUUUGGAUAAAAACUGGAACCCAUUUCGAUCUUGAUUUUCUUGGAUAUUUUUUGGUUGAUAGGAGUGACAAGAGUGUUGAGAGAAGAGCGACCAUCGAGUAAGAUAGUGACAAUAACAAGCUUCUCAGUGAUUAAAGGGAGAGGAGAACCCUAUGAAUCCUCUGUUUUUGAGGCUGCUGGUUACAAAUGGUUCAGAUCUUACACUUUCUCCAUUUUUAUUUAAAAAAUAAUUAAUUCUAUUUUUUGAGCUAAUUUUGUUGGAAAAUAAAAAUCAGGAGAUUGGUGUUGUACGUGAAUGGUAAUCCAAACGACGGUGGAAAUGAUCAUAUUUCACUUUAUGCGAGGAUCGAAGAGACAGAAUCUCUUCCAGUAGGCUGGGAAGUGAAUGUUGAUCUCAAACUCUUUGUCCACAAUGGGAAGCUACACAAAUAUUUGACUGUUACAGGUACACAAAUAAAUGUAUAUAGACAUCUUUAUAGAUAUAGUGGCCAAGUUUAUUUCUAGCCAAUGCUACUUUUACUUGGCAAUUGUAGAUUUCAAAUAUUAGUCUCAUUAUUACAUGAACCGAGUUGAUUGUGAUUUAGAGUUUUUUUUUUUUUUGUGGAUUGUAGAUGGAACAGUGAAGCGAUACAACAAUGCUAAAAAAGAGUGGGGAUACGGACAAUUGAUUCCUCAAUCAACAUUUUACAACACGAAUGAAGGGUACAUUGAGCAGGACACUGGUUCUUUUGGUGCUGAGAUCUUCAUCGUUAGCCCGGCCCAGCAACAAGAGAAAGUCACAUUCAUAUCAAACCCUCCUAACAAUGUUUUCACUUGGAAGAUACUUCAUUUCUCUACCUUGGAAGAUAAAUUCUAUUACUCUGACGAUUUUCUCGUUGAAGACCGAUACUGGUUAGUACUUUUGGUAACCCGAACUUUUAGACCGAAGUACAAAUGAUUUGAUCUCAAAGCUUGCAACUAUUAUGUGCAUUCCGCGGUGGCCUAGUGUAAUAAUGGGUUUUGGUUAAUGGAUAAUCA
RNAcentral lists this long non-coding RNA (5876 nucleotides) under Arabidopsis lyrata. RNAcentral's name for it is "long non-coding RNA (ALYR_LNC001323)". Lineage: Eukaryota; Viridiplantae; Streptophyta; Magnoliopsida; Brassicales; Brassicaceae. The record is from RNAcentral.